Molecule: transfer RNA, 61 nt
Filed under: Hypsauchenia hardwickii
Lineage: Eukaryota; Metazoa; Arthropoda; Insecta; Hemiptera; Membracidae
Description: tRNA-Thr
Source: RNAcentral
GUUUUAAUAAUUUAAUUAAAAUAUUAAUUUUGUAAAUUAAAAAUGAACCUUUCUUAAAACA